GACAGAGGGGGCAAGCGUUGCUCGGAAUCACUGGGCGUAAAGAGCUCGUAGGCGGUGUGUCGCGUCGGCCGUGAAAACCUGGGGCUUAACUCUGGGCGUGCGGUCGAUACGGGCAUCACUGGAGUUCGGCAGGGGAGACUGGAAUUCCUGGUGUAGCGGUGAAAUGCGCAGAUAUCAGGAGGAACACCGGUGGCGAAGGCGGGUCUCUGGGCCGAUGACUGACGCUGAGGAGCGAAAGCAUGGGUAGCGAACAGG
This 255-nucleotide ribosomal RNA is filed under the name uncultured bacterium. RNAcentral's name for it is "partial 16S ribosomal RNA". It matches the Rfam family "Bacterial small subunit ribosomal RNA", at positions 524 to 776 of the family's 1533-position model. The record is from RNAcentral.